This 127-nucleotide small nuclear RNA is filed under the name Erythranthe guttata (spotted monkey flower). RNAcentral describes it as "Mimulus guttatus (spotted monkey flower) U5 spliceosomal RNA". It matches the Rfam family "U5 spliceosomal RNA". Rfam says of the family: U5 RNA is a component of both types of known spliceosome. The precise function of this molecule is unknown, though it is known that the 5' loop is required for splice site selection and p220 binding, and that both the 3' stem-loop and the Sm site are important for Sm protein binding and cap methylation. Lineage: Eukaryota; Viridiplantae; Streptophyta; Magnoliopsida; Lamiales; Phrymaceae. The record is from Rfam by way of RNAcentral.
AGCUACGCACUGAGCACAUAGCAACAUAGCAAAAUAUUCUUUUGCCUUUUAGUAUAGAAUACCGUGUGCUUGCUCCAAUUCAAGUAGCAUAUGCCUCUUUUUGGAGGGUUUAUUUCCUUUUAAGAAU